UUUCAUCACAGCUUCAGAUGA
Molecule: non-coding RNA, 21 nt
Filed under: Caenorhabditis elegans
Lineage: Eukaryota; Metazoa; Nematoda; Chromadorea; Rhabditida; Rhabditidae
Source: RNAcentral